AACGAACGCUGGCGGCAUGCCUAACACAUGCAAGUCGAACGAGACCUUCGGGUCUAGUGGCGCACGGGUGCGUAACGCGUGGGAACCUGCCCUUAGGUUCGGAAUAACUCCCCGAAAGGGGUGCUAAUACCGGAUAAUGUCUUCGGACCAAAGAUUUAUCGCCUUUGGAUGGGCCCGCGUUGGAUUAGCUAGUUGGUAGGGUAAAAGCCUACCAAGGCGAGGAUCUAUAGCUGGUCUGAGAGGAUGAUCAGCCACACUGGGACUGAGACGCGGCCCAGACUCCUACGGGAGGGAGCAGUGGGGAAUAUUGGAAAAUGGGCGGAAGCCUGAUGCAGCAAUGCCGGGUGAGUGAUGAAGGCCUUAGGGUAGUAAAGCUCUUUUACCCGGGAUGAUAAUGACAGUACCGGGAGAAUAAGCUCCGGCUAACUCCGUG
RNAcentral lists this ribosomal RNA (433 nucleotides) under uncultured bacterium. RNAcentral describes it as "partial 16S ribosomal RNA". It matches the Rfam family "Bacterial small subunit ribosomal RNA", at positions 29 to 507 of the family's 1533-position model. The record is from RNAcentral.